This 1999-nucleotide unclassified non-coding RNA is filed under the name Leishmania donovani. Its description in RNAcentral is "gene:LdHU3.17.2010(CDS-product:hypothetical_prote in)". Lineage: Eukaryota; Euglenozoa; Kinetoplastea; Trypanosomatida; Trypanosomatidae. The record is from RNAcentral.
CACCUUCCUCAGCGAGCGACUCCAGCAUCCACUCUUCGGCGAUGACGUUCCUCGUCCAGACGGGGCCCCGACCCGAGUCGAGUUCGUCUGGUUGGACCCGAACGACAGCCCCCACGCACGGGCUGGCGCAGCACAGCCGGCAUACCCUCUCUCUCAUGUUUGCAUAGAUCACCCGAAGACUGCACAGGUGGCAGGCCGUACCCCAUCCUCCCUGGGUCCAUCGGGGGGGAUCUAGGGAGGGGCUGCCUUCUCAUAUUGAAAUCCUUCACCUUAAGGAGGGAGGGGGGAUCGCCCCCAUCUCCUCCGCCAAGCCCCGGGGGCGUUGACCCCGAGCGUUACAUGGGUACGCUCAGCGACGGGAUUCGCCGCAAGCAGAACAAGCUCCAUCGCGGCUCGCCUCACACCGGAGGACGACCUACAGACGCUCUUCCAGCCAUCCGCAAGAUGCCCUCUGAGCGCCUCAGCAGGAACGGGCUAUCCCAGGCAGACGGCACUGCUCUUCACCACGUGGCGCAGCGGCUUGUGCCGGGAAUCGACCGCAUCGCCACGCGUCAACACGGCCAGCAAGCCGCAUGCCCAUCACAGAACCGCCCUUUGCCGGAAUCCUUCGAUGCUGCGCGGAGCGGGGCUGUGGGGCCCGUGGCCCCGACGUUGCCGCGGUCUGGUGGCGCUGUGGGUGGGCGGCAGUAACAAGGAGCAACGCGAGGUUGCUGCACACGGCACCUUCUCCUCAAGGGCGGAGAGACCUUUGCGAACCGGAAGAUGAUGGCUUACCAGGUGAUGAAGGUGAAGCGUUUUCCAGCUAGGAGGAUGCACCAUGCAGGCUGCCUCCAGCAACCUAUCGACCGAAUACAACACCGCGUUCGCCCGGGACAUCAGCAGCCCGAACAACGAGGACAGCGUGCACGCCUUGAAGGCGGCGUUCGACGUCUUCGUGACGCAAGCGCGGCACGGACGGCGUUUCGUUCUCGGCGCCCCUCGGACCAAAGACGAGGCCCUUAGUGGACGGAAUAGCCGAAGCCUUCUACGCUGAGCCGGAGGCCGCAGCGUCGGCACGCGCUAGCCAGCACCUGUCGACCGAACGCGACGCCGUCAUCACGAAGCACAGAGGCCCUCACCUAAAACAACAGCAACACAGGGGCGGAGGAGGAGGCCCAGGCGCGAGUACAUUCAAGGCGGCAACAACGGGAGAAAAAUGUGCCGCCAACGCCCUCGUGCGACUCCUGCCGCAAAAGCCCCUUCCGCACACACACACACACACACGCACACACACACACACACACACACACACACACACACACACACACACACACAUAAAUAUGCGCGCCGCUGGAUCCGUCUGCCUCGCCAACUGAGGGGGAGGGGGGCCUCAUCGCGAACGGACGCUCCUCAACACGGCAUGACGGGCCGAAGGGGCUCUCCUCCCGCUGCGUCCAGCACGGCCGGUGACACAGUCCGGCUUGCUACCCUUUUUCCCGCUACGUCGCACCUUUGGUGAAUCAUCGCCGGCUCCUCGCUGGGAAGACGGCCAGCAGCUGGGACGAAGUCUGCCGUCUGACCCCGCAGAGCUUCCUCAGCGUCUCCAGCGCCACAGUAGCGCCUUACCGUGCUGCGGAGGCGAGGCCAAGUCGUGGCGCGGCCCUUCUAUCCGGAUCUUUUAGGCGUCGUGCGGCUCGGUGCUAAGCGGCACGGUCGCGCACGCCUCUCCGCAUUUCGGAAUAGCGAACGAUGCGAAGGUGCGUGUGUGGCGCUGGUGGCAAUAUUCGUUUUUGUCUGCCUUCUCUCUGUUUGUCUGUCUUUUGCAUCCCCCCUCCCCCCUGUGCGCCGGCGAAGGAGAAGAGGUGCUCACGUAGCUGCUUGUGGACCUUGGCCCGCAUGUCCCGCUCUCCAUCUGUCUGCGCCCUUGGUUCAUUGCCAUCACUCCCUUGGCGGCUGCUCGUCUAUGUAUGUACAGUGAUAUUCACUGCGCCUUGUCUCUCCGUCGUCCGCGUGGUGUUAC